UCUGCUGGCUCUUCGGAGCGAAGCUCGUUCGUAAUACAUUAGCAUUUCUAAUUCGAAUUCGGAUUGACUCAGUGUAAUAGACUAUUUCGCUGAGGACACUUUUUAUUAAGUGGCCGUAUUUAAACCAAGGAAAGCUUCUAAUCCCUCUAGUCACCUUUAGAUUAGACCUCAAAUCAGGUAGGAUUACCCGCUGAACUUAA
This 200-nucleotide unclassified non-coding RNA is filed under the name soil metagenome. RNAcentral's name for it is "partial contains internal transcribed spacer 2 and large subunit ribosomal RNA". The record is from RNAcentral.